AACGCUGGCGGCGUGCUUAACACAUGCAAGUCGAACGGAAAGGCCCUGCUUUUGUGGGGUGCUCGAGUGGCGAACGGGUGAGUAACACGUGAGUAACCUGCCCUUGACUUUGGGAUAACUUCAGGAAACUGGGGCUAAUACCGGAUAGGAGCUCCUGCUGCAUGGUGGGGGUUGGAAAGUUUCGGCGGUUGGGGAUGGACUCGCGGCUUAUCAGCUUGUUGGUGGGGUAGUGGCUUACCAAGGCUUUGACGGGUAGCCGGCCUGAGAGGGUGACCGGCCACAUUGGGACUGAGAUACGGCCCAGACUCCUACGGGAGGCAGCAGUGGGGAAUAUUGCACAAUGGGCGGAAGCCUGAUGCAGCAACGCCGCGUGCGGGAUAACGGCCUUCGGGUUGUAAACCGCUUUCGCCUGUGACGAAGCGUGAGUGACGGUAAUGGGUAAAGAAGCACCGGCUAACUACGUGCCAGCAGCCGCGGUGAUACGUAGGGUGCGAGCGUUGUCCGGAUUUAUUGGGCGUAAAGGGCUCGUAGGUGGUUGAUCGCGUCGGAAGUGUAAUCUUGGGGCUUAACCCUGAGCGUGCUUUCGAUACGGGUUGACUUGAGGAAGGUAGGGGAGAAUGGAAUUCCUGGUGGAGCGGUGGAAUGCGCAGAUAUCAGGAGGAACACCAGUGGCGAAGGCGGUUCUCUGGGCCUUUCCUGACGCUGAGGAGCGAAAGCGUGGGGAGCGAACAGGCUUAGAUACCCUGGUAGUCCACGCUGUAAACGGUGGGUACUAGGUGUGGGGUCCAUUCCACGGGUUCCGUGCCGUAGCUAACGCUUUAAGUACCCCGCCUGGGGAGUACGGCCGCAAGGCUAAAACUCAAAGGAAUUGACGGGGCCCCGCACAAGCGGCGGAGCAUGCGGAUUAAUUCGAUGCAACGCGUAGAACCUUACCUGGGUUUGACAUGGAUCGGGAGUGCUCAGAGAUGGGUGUGCCUCGUUUGGGGUCGGUUCACAGGUGGUGCAUGGCUGUCGUCAGCUCGUGUCGUGAGAUGUUGGGUUAAGUCCCGCAACGAGCGCAACCCUUGUUCACUGUUGCCAGCACGUUAUGGUGGGGACUCAGUGGAGACCGCCGGGGUCAACUCGGAGGAAGGUGGGGAUGACGUCAAGUCAUCAUGCCCCUUAUGUCCAGGGCUUCACGCAUGCUACAAUGGCUGGUACAGAGAGUGGCGAGCCUGUGAGGGUGAGCGAAUCUCGGAAAGCCGGUCUCAGUUCGGAUUGGGGUCUGCAACUCGACCUCAUGAAGUCGGAGUCGCUAGUAAUCGCAGAUCAGCAACGCUGCGGUGAAUACGUUCCCGGGGCUUGUACACACCGCCCGUCAAGUCAUGAAAGUUGGUAACACCCGAAGCCGGUGGCCUAACCGUUGUGGGGGAGCCGUCGAAGGUGGGACUGGUGA
Molecule: ribosomal RNA, 1435 nt
Filed under: uncultured organism
Description: 16S ribosomal RNA
Rfam family: Bacterial small subunit ribosomal RNA
Source: RNAcentral